UCCUGUGGCUCCCUUGGCAAUAGCAGAGCUGCCAGGACCUUUAAAUGGAAUUAUGUUUCAAUACCACAUAACACGUUCUGAGCGGACAAUGGAGAUCGCUGGGGCAACGGAAGCUUCCUCAGGGAAUGGAACACGAAAGGGGCGGCCCUGGGUAAACUCUCUUAACAAUGUACAGUCGAGGAAGUGAUUAAUAUGGGAAAUUGGCCUAGCUGGAUCAAAGCGGCUGCCGUCCUCAUGCCAGCAGUCUCCCAAUGACCAUGACUCAGCGGAAUCAUGUCCCAGAACAAGGACAUAGGACACCGAGCCUCUGUAAUCAGGUGAUACGGCUGCAGCGGGCCGGGAGGCAGAGGAGUGUUCGGAGACGGUGAAGGGGAAGGCAGGCCGGCCGGGGAGGACACCCAACACCCCGGCCCUGAGAAGGCAGGCCGGCCGGGGAGGACACCCAACACCCCGGCCCUGAGAAGGCAGGCCGGCCGGGGAGGACACCCAACACCCCGGCCCUGAGAGAGCCAUGAGCCGGGGCCUUUCAUUCACCACCAGCGGCUCUCUCAGCGCCACAGAAAGAUCACAUGUCAGGGCAGGGUCCUCAUCUGCCUAGAGUGGCGAGGAGAGACGAACCAGGGAAAAACUCCCGCGUCUGGAAAAGAAGAAACAACCCACCCCCCCAUUGUCUUUUCUUGGCUUAGCGAAGCCUACAGGUCGGACUAUGAAGAAAGGCGGCCCCUGGAAACGACGGACCGGCAUUCCUGCGACAAAGUCCUCCCGGCUGCUCGUCGCCAUUCUGCUGGGACUCAUCGUCCUCUUCAUCUACUUCCACGUAAUCCUGUCCUUCCCGUGGUGAC
Long non-coding RNA from Paramormyrops kingsleyae, 842 nucleotides. RefSeq lists it as uncharacterized. Lineage: Eukaryota; Metazoa; Chordata; Actinopteri; Osteoglossiformes; Mormyridae. The record is from RefSeq and is a predicted model, not a curated record.